This 459-nucleotide ribosomal RNA is filed under the name uncultured bacterium. Its description in RNAcentral is "partial 16S ribosomal RNA". It matches the Rfam family "Bacterial small subunit ribosomal RNA", at positions 339 to 795 of the family's 1533-position model. The record is from RNAcentral.
CUACGGGGCGCAGCAGUAAGGAAUAUUGCGCAAUGGAGGCAACUCUGACGCAGCCAUGCCGCGUGCAGGAAGAAGGCCUUAUGGGUCGUAAACUGCUUUUAUUUAGGAAUAAACCCCCGAACGUGUUCGGGGCUGAAGGUACUAAACGAAUAAGCACCGGCUAACUCCGUGCCAGCAGUCGCGGUAAUACGGAGGGUGCAAGCGUUAUCCGGAUUUAUUGGGCUUAAAGGGUGCGCAGGCGGGCUAUUAAGUCAGUGGUGAAAUCCCGGGGCUCAACUCCGGAACUGCCAUUGAUACUGAUAGUCUUGAGUUUGGUUGAAGUGGGCGGAAUGUAGCAUGUAGCGGUGAAAUGCAUAGAUAUGCUACAGAACACCAAUCGCGAAGGUAGCUCACUAAGCCAAAACUGACGCUCAUGCACGAAAGCGUGGGGAUCAAACAGGAUUAGAUACCCCCGUAGUC